UGUUUUUUUUUUUUUUUGUAGGGGAUGUGGGUAAGUUAGAGCGAGGUUACAGUGGAAGUGUUAAGCUUUGAAUAGUUUCCCGUAAGAUUUAAAAGUUGUAUUUUAAAAGAAAAAUGUAUCUUACAGCUAUUAAGAAUCACUUGCUGUAUCUGUAAGAUGUUUUCAACAUAAUUUUUUUGUCUGAACGGUUAUCAGGUAUUUUUUUUUUCGAAAGUUCGAUAGAAC
Molecule: long non-coding RNA, 225 nt
Filed under: Mytilus galloprovincialis (Mediterranean mussel)
Lineage: Eukaryota; Metazoa; Mollusca; Bivalvia; Mytilida; Mytilidae
Source: RNAcentral